RNAcentral lists this ribosomal RNA (449 nucleotides) under uncultured bacterium. Its description in RNAcentral is "partial 16S ribosomal RNA". It matches the Rfam family "Bacterial small subunit ribosomal RNA", at positions 29 to 523 of the family's 1533-position model. The record is from RNAcentral.
AACGAACGCUGGCGGCAGGCUUAACACAUGCAAGUCGAACGCAUCCUUCGGGGUGAGUGGCAGACGGGUGAGUAAAGCGUGGGAACGUGCCCUUCAGUUCGGGAUAACCCAGGGAAACUUGGGCUAAUACCGGAUACGUGCGAGAGCAGAAAGAUUUAUCGCUGAAGGAUCGGCCCGCGUCUGAUUAGCUAGUUGGUGGGGUAAUGGCCCACCAAGGCGACGAUCAGUAGCUGGUCUGAGAGGAUGAUCAGCCACAUUGGGACUGAGACAAGGCCCAAACUCCUACGGGAGUCAGCAGUGGGGAAUAUUGGACAAUGGGCGCAAGCCUGAUCCAGCCAUGCCGCGUGAGUGAUGAAGGCCUUAGGGUUGUAAAGCUCUUUCGUCCGGGACGAUAAUGACGGUACCGGAAGAAGAAGCCCCGGCUAACUUCGUGCCAGCCGCCGCGGUAA